This is a long non-coding RNA of Telopea speciosissima, 168 nucleotides long. RefSeq lists it as uncharacterized. The transcript is spliced from 3 exons. Lineage: Eukaryota; Viridiplantae; Streptophyta; Magnoliopsida; Proteales; Proteaceae. The record is from RefSeq and is a predicted model, not a curated record.
AAUAGUGAUGUGCCACUUUGCGACUGAAACUGAUCAACCGCCAUGGCCGGCAAACCGCACCAAAAUGAACAAUGUCUUCGAUUGCCGAAAACUGAUCCACAAUCAGUCCUAGAAUGUCAUUGCAAAGUUCGGACCAGUUCCCCAUACCCUUUCCUUGUCUCGUGCAAA